ACACACACCGUAAUUGGAAGAGAUAUACGUAAUGCCUGCGCAGUAAGAACUAGUGUUCCAUUCUCAGUACUUAUCGGAUCUACAUGCCGCAUUAUGCGCAUGUUCUUCCACUAUCAGCAAAAAAAAUUAAGGGAACUUGGUGGUAUUCUUUUUGAUUGUUUCAGCCGUCUGGAAUCUGAACUAAGUUCAGGCAAUAAUAAUGAAGGAACAUUCAUGGCUUUGCACUUUCAUCACACAGAUUUCCCUCUGUUUCUGUGUUUACCUUGCAUUUAACAUGGGUGACAGAACUGAGAGUAGCAGCAGGCCUGUUGAGACGUACUUUAUGAGUGUUGCAGGAGGUUUUAGGCCUGAAAAAGAACAGACCCUUCUUCUCAAACUGAUGGCGAAGGUGGCAAAAGUGUACAAAGUACAAUUUGUAGUGAGCAUUAGUGAACUUGGAGAAAAUGAUCCUCUCGGCCUGAAUGCCACGUGGUAUUUUCUGUCUCUAAAACUUCCCUGGUACACAACAAAAUCAUUCAAAGGACAAAGACCUGGUUCCUACCUCGAGCAUACAAAAGUUCAAUAUGGGAAUACCUUGGAUAUUGUAAUUGUGAAUACAGAGUUAUUUCAGGGCCCUUCAGCUGGUGCUAUGGAGCAUCAGUUACUAUGGCUCACGAAGACACUGGAAGAAAGCACCAGUGACUGGCGCAUUGUUGUUGGUUUCCACCCACUGUUAGCUUGUAAUGGAAGUACGGAAGCUAAAGACAAUCCUCUCUGUCUUAAUGAAAUGUUUUUGAAUCAUCGAGUGGACGCUUACCUCAGUGGCCAUGCUUGUACCAAACAUGUUCACAAACAGAGUGCAAAACAGCCUGGUAAUGCUGAUCAACCGGGCAAAGGACCUUGUCUUACUCCAAUUCGUAGGAUAUUUGAUCAAAACAAGGAAAAGGUGAAUGGUUUUCUUCUACACAGAGUCAGUUCCCUAGAACUCGUAACUUAUUCAAUAAACUUGAAGGGGGAUGUUGCACACAAGAUUGAACUUCAACAAAGUGGUAGAGAAGUCAUGUGAUGUACUCAAAGACCUUAUAAUCAUCCCAAAGCCUUGGUGCUUGUUUUGCUCUACCUUUUUCUUCUGUAUAGAUUUUCAAUUAUUUUCAUAAUUUUAAAUACCAUGUAUUUGAUCUCUUUCUGAGUUUCUGGCUUAACAGUAACAAUCUUUGUUUUGGUUCCUGAGGUACUAUAUUAGGCCCUGCAAUUAAAGCAUACUGAGUGGUACAUUUGCUGGAGUUGUUUCUUGUACCCUUAAUGAGAGGCUUGUUAUUCUUGCUUCUGGUCGUUGUGGAUAAGGUUCCAUAAAUUGUAGAGAAAUGAUCCUCAGGUCUAUUGUUGGAGAAAUUGAUCCUAGACUAUUUUGUUAAAAUUUGUGUUCGAGAAAUUGAUCAUUGUCUCCUGUUGAAUUUUGGAGUACUCGAACAUCGAAUAUACUGGGGUUCUCAACUUCAUAAAAUUUGCCUAAUCAGCAAAUCGGCCAAAGAUAUAAAAGGAGGGAUCCUGUAGAGAUUAUAGUCGAAGUUAUUGUGUUUGGUGUUGAACAGUUGUCUAAGUUAUUGGUUGUGCUCGCCUCGAUUAAGCCAUCUGCCAAGUGACACCCAAUCCAAUGUAUGAAGAUGGAAGGGAAGGCGGCUAUGCAAGGGAGGCGAAGCAGAGAUGACAACUACCUGAGAUUGAUCCUCAGCACAUCGAGUCAUGGCACUCACAUUGAUCCUCAGCGCACCCACGAAGAGGAAGCCUACCUUGGCAUUGAAGACAAUUCUUGGGAUAGAGUUGAAGACAAUUCUCCAGCUUCUUGGGAUAGAGUGAUAGACUUUUUGCCAAGAAUCCGUUGGAUAUCAGAUUACAGCUCUAUGUUUUGUUACUGACAGGCGACUAAAGGAAUGCAUGAUACUUCAAUGGCCCCAACAUCAGGUGCCUUAGAAUAUGAGAAAUGGUUGAGCUGCUUUAUGGGGUUUAAUCUGUUUAAGAGGCAUCGGCAAGGCGGUGCAUUUUGCGUACCUUGGAAGCACAACAUCCAGACAGGUAUUCAAGCUAUUCACGAUGCCGUGCAGAUGAAAAGAAUCAUACCAUGUGACCGGAAAAGCAUUUUCUGAGAAGAAGAUGUCUCCUGCUGAGAGUGGAAAGUCAUGAGAUACUCAGGAUUUGGAAGCCUUUGGUGAACUCACUAGUGUUACUUAGGUUCAUCAAUAACAUCAGGUGGUUUUACUUAGAACUUUCCUCAGCAUGAAUUCAUGCAGGAUUGUUUUUCUUUGACAGUCUCAAAACAUUCAGCAUUGGUCUGCUGUUACUGAUGAUAACAUUGUACUAGUUAAAUAUUUGAUGGAAACAAAUAUCCAAAAGAA
Coffea arabica (coffee) is the source of this 2372-nucleotide non-coding RNA. The record is from RefSeq and is a predicted model, not a curated record. NCBI's taxonomy places the organism in Eukaryota, Viridiplantae, Streptophyta, Magnoliopsida, Gentianales, Rubiaceae.